This 796-nucleotide ribosomal RNA is filed under the name uncultured Segetibacter sp. RNAcentral describes it as "bacterial SSU rRNA". It matches the Rfam family "Bacterial small subunit ribosomal RNA", at positions 8 to 796 of the family's 1533-position model. Lineage: Bacteria; Pseudomonadati; Bacteroidota; Chitinophagia; Chitinophagales; Chitinophagaceae. The record is from RNAcentral.
AGAGUUUGAUCAUGGCUCAGGAUGAACGCUAGCGGCAGGCUUAAUACAUGCAAGUCGAGGGGCAACAGGGGUAGCGAUACCUGCUGGCGACCGGCAAACGGGUGCGCAACACGUACAGAACCUUCCUUUAAGCGGGGGGAUAGCCCAGAGAAAUUUGGAUUAAUACCCCAUAGUAUUAUUGUUUGGCAUCAAAUAAUAAUUAAAGAUUUAUCACUUAGAGAUGGCUGUGCGUCUGAUUAGGUAGUUGGUUGGGGUAAUGGCCCACCAAGCCUUCGAUCAGUAACUGGUGUGAGAGCACGACCAGUCACACGGGCACUGAGACACGGGCCCGACUCCUACGGGAGGCAGCAGUAAGGAAUAUUGGUCAAUGGAGGCAACUCUGAACCAGCCAUGCCGCGUGAAGGAUGAAGGUCCUCUGGAUUGUAAACUUCUUUUAUGUGGGAAGAAAUGCAUUCUUUAUAGAGUGUUUGACGGUACCAUAGGAAUAAGCACCGGCUAACUCCGUGCCAGCAGCCGCGGUAAUACGGAGGGUGCGAGCGUUAUCCGGAUUCACUGGGUUUAAAGGGUGCGUAGGUGGGGAAGUAAGUCAGUGGUGAAAUCUCCGUGCUUAACAUGGAAACUGCCAUUGAUACUAUUUUUUCUUGAAUUUUCCGGAGGUUAGCGGAAUAUGUCAUGUAGCGGUGAAAUGCUUAGAUAUGACAUAGAACACCAAUUGCGAAGGCAGCUAACUACAGGGAUAUUGACACUGAGGCACGAAAGCGUGGGGAUCAAACAGGAUUAGAUACCCCAGUAGUCC